This is a long non-coding RNA of Drosophila santomea, 1061 nucleotides long. RefSeq lists it as uncharacterized. The transcript is spliced from 2 exons. Lineage: Eukaryota; Metazoa; Arthropoda; Insecta; Diptera; Drosophilidae. The record is from RefSeq and is a predicted model, not a curated record.
GGGCGUAUACGUAAUACAAAAAAGCAGGGGCUCGGCGAAUCGGGUAAAGUGGUUGGAAAAGUGGGGGUGGAGGUGGCAAAUCCCCAUCUCCUCCUGGCAAUUGGCAGUCUCAAAAGCUGGCUACUAGCCACGGCUUUUAUGGACCUGGCCCCGAAGGUGGCCUAAUUACAGGGGCAGCCGGCGGGCGGGUGCAUCUUCAUUUGGGCCACAUUCCUGGCUAAUCCCCCAGAGCCCUCACCAAGUGUCCAUCCAUCCAUCUAUCACAUGUCAUUUAUGGCACUAUUCCGUAGGAGUGCCUCUGUGUGACUCAUCCCGCCGGCGGUUGCAACAUCACUUAGGGUCUGGUCUCUGGUCUCUUGUUCCGCACUACUUUGGUGGCCAUGCAAAAAGGUGGUAGCAAUGGUGGUUUCACCGGGGGCUUCACCGCACUUAUGUGGCCCGCUCCAUUUCGCAACUGUUCUACACUCGAAAAAAGUCUGAAAGUUCCUAGCUAGCACCAACACACACUCACAAAGUUUAGCAGGGAUGUAUAAAAGUAACUGUUGUCCUUUGCCUUUUCACGUAACUUUUGCAACUGCGCCCAAAAUGGAAAUUUGUUACCAGACAGCUGGGCACCCGAAGGAGUGAGAGAGAUGGAAGUGCAGAGAGAGUCCUGCGAGAGCAAACAAGCCGCGGAAGGAGCGAGCGAGAGAUAUAUACAUCUAAUAACUUUCGCCUAUUUAAGCUUAAACUUUUGCCUAAUUUAUGAUAUUUUUCAUAUUAUUUUCCGCUUUAUAAUUAUUCAUAUUUGUCGUAUUAAAAUUAAUCUUCUGGCAUGCGGCAUUUCUGCGCAAGUGUUUGAAGAGAGAAAAGAUGGGAGAGAGCGGCAAGAACAAGAGAAAUGGCAAACAAACAAAAGCCACAGCCACAGCUGUCUUAUCACGGGGCGGUUUUUGCCACCCCCUUUCGACUGAUAGCAAAGACAACCGUUGCGUGUGGUUUGUGUCUUCGAUAACUAUGUUAUACAAAUUUGAAUUAAAUUUUAAAUUAUUUGAAAUUAAUAAAAUGAUAUAAAAAUUUUA